Molecule: ribosomal RNA, 253 nt
Filed under: uncultured bacterium
Lineage: Bacteria
Description: partial 16S ribosomal RNA
Rfam family: Bacterial small subunit ribosomal RNA
Source: RNAcentral
UACGUAGGUGGCGAACGUUAUCCGGAGUGACUGGGUGUAAAGGGUCCGUAGGCGGAUAGGCAAGUCUGACGUGAAAGCGCCCGGCUCAACUGGGCGAGUGCGUUGGAAACUGCCCGUCUUGAAUCACGCAGAGGUCGGCGGAAUUCCCGGUGUAGUGGUGGAAUGCGUAGAGAUCGGGAGGAACCUCGAAAGCGAAGGCAGCCGACUGGGGGAUGAUUGACGCUGAGGGACGAAAGCGUGGGGAGCGAACAGG